GAUGAACGCUGGCGGCAUGCUUAACACAUGCCAGUCGGACGGGAAGUGGUGUUUCCCGUGGCGGACGGGUGAGUAACGCGUAAGAACCUGCCCUUGGGAGGGGAACAACCGCUGGCAACGGCUGCUAAUACCCCGUAGGCUGAGGAGCAAAAGGAGGCGUCCGCCUGAGGAGGGGCUCGCGGCUGAUUAGCUAGUUGGUGGGGUAGUAGCUUACCAAGGCGGUGAUGAGUAGCCGGUCCGAGGGGGUGAUCGGCAACAAUGGGAGUGAGGAACGGCCGAGAAGACUACGAGAGGCAGCAGUGGGGAAUAAUGUACCAUGAGCGGAAGCCUCAUGAAGCAACGACGCCUGGGGGAUGAAGGACUUCGGCUGGUCGACAGCUUCCGCCCGCGACGAAGCGGCAGUGACGGUAACUGGUGAAGAAGCACCGGCUAACUACGUG
This 440-nucleotide ribosomal RNA is filed under the name uncultured bacterium. RNAcentral describes it as "partial 16S ribosomal RNA". It matches the Rfam family "Bacterial small subunit ribosomal RNA", at positions 28 to 507 of the family's 1533-position model. The record is from RNAcentral.